Molecule: ribosomal RNA, 471 nt
Filed under: uncultured bacterium
Lineage: Bacteria
Description: bacterial SSU rRNA
Rfam family: Bacterial small subunit ribosomal RNA
Source: RNAcentral
ACUCCUACGGGAGGCAGCAGUGGGGAAUAUUGCACAAUGGGCGCAAGCCUGAUGCAGCCAUGCCGCGUGUAUGAAGAAGGCCUUCGGGUUGUAAAGUACUUUCAGCAGUGAGGAAGGCGGGUACGUUAAUAGCGUGCUCGUUUGGACGUUAGCUGCAGAAGAAGCACCGGCUAACUCCGUGCCAGCAGCCGCGGUAAUACGGAGGGUGCGAGCGUUAAUCGGAAUUACUGGGCGUAAAGCGCAUGCAGGUGGUUUGUUAAGUCAGAUGUGAAAGCCCGGGGCUCAACCUCGGAAUAGCAUUUGAAACUGGCAGACUAGAGUACUGUAGAGGGGGUAGAAUUUCAGGUGUAGCGGUGAAAUGCGUAGAGAUCUGAAGGAAUACCGGUGGCGAAGGCGGCCCCUGCAGCAGAUACUGACACUCAGAUGCGAAAGCGUGGGGAGCAAACAGGAUUAGAUACCCUGGUAGACAUC